Molecule: ribosomal RNA, 492 nt
Filed under: uncultured bacterium
Lineage: Bacteria
Description: partial 16S ribosomal RNA
Rfam family: Bacterial small subunit ribosomal RNA
Source: RNAcentral
AGUGAACGCUGGCGGUAUGCCUAACACAUGCAAGUCGAACGGCAGCACAGUAAUAGCUUGCUUUUAUGGGUGGCGAGUGGCGCACGGGUGUGGCAUACAUCUGACUUUACUUUUUCGCGGGGGAUAACGUAGGGAAACUUACGCUAAUACCGCAUACGACCUACGGCUGAAAGCAGGGGAGCUUCGGACCUUGCUCGUUUGAAUUAGACGAUGUCGUAUUAGCUAGUUGGCGGGGUAACGGCCCACCAAGGCGACGAUCCGUAGCUGGUCUGAGAGGAUGAUCAGCCACACUGGAACUGAGACACGGUCCAGACUCCUACGGGAGGCAGCAGUGGGGAAUAUUCGGCAAUGGGCGAAAGUCUGAUGGAGCAAUGCCGCGUGAGUGAAGAAGGUCUUCGGAUUGUAAAGCUCUUUUGUUAGGGAAGAACAACUACGUGAGAAAAUGAAGGUAUCCUGACGGUACCCAACGAGAAAGCACCGGCUAACUACGUG